GGGCGAAUUUGUGCUUGUUUACGUCAAUGAUACAGCAACUUCACAAAGCAUGCAAAGAAACAUGUACUUUAAUCCGUGUAUCUUUUUUGACGUAAAGGGCUGAAUUGAUAAAUGUGCAAUGAAUGUAUAUAUUCCUUCAUAGCAUUAUUAGUAUUUGUACAUUAAAUAAUGUUUUAAGUAUAUAUGUCUUUUCGAAAUGUUUUUUUUUUU
This 210-nucleotide long non-coding RNA is filed under the name Mytilus galloprovincialis (Mediterranean mussel). Lineage: Eukaryota; Metazoa; Mollusca; Bivalvia; Mytilida; Mytilidae. The record is from RNAcentral.